This 700-nucleotide ribosomal RNA is filed under the name uncultured beta proteobacterium. RNAcentral's name for it is "bacterial SSU rRNA". It matches the Rfam family "Bacterial small subunit ribosomal RNA", at positions 94 to 790 of the family's 1533-position model. The record is from RNAcentral. Lineage: Bacteria; Pseudomonadati; Pseudomonadota; Betaproteobacteria.
AGUGGCGAACGGGUGAGUAAUAUAUCGGAACGUGCCCAGUCGUGGGGGAUAACGUAGCGAAAGUUACGCUAAUACCGCAUACGAUCUACGGAUGAAAGCGGGGGAUCGCAAGACCUCGCGCGAUUGGAGCGGCCGAUAUCAGAUUAGGUAGUUGGUGGGGUAAAGGCUCACCAAGCCAACGAUCUGUAGCUGGUCUGAGAGGACGACCAGCCACACUGGAACUGAGACACGGUCCAGACUCCUACGGGAGGCAGCAGUGGGGAAUUUUGGACAAUGGACGCUAGUCUGAUCCAGCCAUUCCGCGUGCAGGAUGAAGGCCCUCGGGUUGUAAACUGCUUUUGUACGGAACGAAAAGGUUUCCAUUAAUACUGGGAGCUCAUGACGGUACCGUAAGAAUAAGCACCGGCUAACUACGUGCCAGCGGCCGCGGUAAUACGUAGGGUGCAAGCGUUAAUCGGAAUUACUGGGCGUAAAGCGUGCGCAGGCGGUUAUGUAAGACAGAGGUGAAAUCCCCGGGCUCAACCUGGGAACUGCCUUUGUGACUGCAUAGCUAGAGUACGGUAGAGGGGGAUGGAAUUCCGCGUGUAGCAGUGAAAUGCGUAGAUAUGCGGAGGAACACCGAUGGCGAAGGCAAUCCCCUGGACCUGUACUGACGCUCAUGCACGAAAGCGUGGGGAGCAAACAGGAUUAGAUACCCUGG